GAUGAACGCUGGCGGCGUGCCUAAUACAUGCAAGUCGAGCGAACAGACGAGGAGCUUGCUCCUCUGACGUUAGCGGCGGACGGGUGAGUAACACGUGGAUAACCUACCUAUAAGACUGGGAUAACUUCGGGAAACCGGAGCUAAUACCGGAUAAUAUAUUGAACCGCAUGGUUCAAUAGUGAAAGACGGUUUUGCUGUCACUUAUAGAUGGAUCCGCGCCGCAUUAGCUAGUUGGUAAGGUAACGGCUUACCAAGGCAACGAUGCGUAGCCGACCUGAGAGGGUGAUUGGCCACACUGGAACUGAGACACGGUCCAGACUCCCACGGGAGGCAGCAGUAGGGAAUCUUCCGCAAUGGGCGAAAGCCUGACGGAGCAACGCCGCGUGAGUGAUGAAGGUCUUCGGAUCGUAAAACUCUGUUAUUAGGGAAGAACAAAUGUGUAAGUAACUAUGCACGUCUUGACGGUACCUAAUCAGAAAGCCACGGCUAACUACGUG
Molecule: ribosomal RNA, 497 nt
Filed under: uncultured bacterium
Lineage: Bacteria
Description: partial 16S ribosomal RNA
Rfam family: Bacterial small subunit ribosomal RNA
Source: RNAcentral